Molecule: ribosomal RNA, 415 nt
Filed under: Coccus longulus
Lineage: Eukaryota; Metazoa; Arthropoda; Insecta; Hemiptera; Coccidae
Description: partial 28S ribosomal RNA
Source: RNAcentral
UGGGCUACGGACGAGCCCGUGAUCCGGGCGUACGGAAUUCAGGACCGACUCGUCGUCCGCUCUUCGCGGGGCGGACGGCGGUCGAUUCGAUAUUUCCGUCGCCGACCCUCAACCGAGGGUGUCGGACGUCGCGACCCGUUCGCCACGGUCGAUGCUCAGGGACGCGCCUCGAGUUCGCCCGCGCGGCCGCUUCGGCGGUCGCGCGACGACGGCGCGUUUCCGUUGUCUUCGACGCGGACGGUAGCUUUGCGCGCGGGUAAUCGACGCGGCCCACUCGUCCGGCGUCUCCGUACGUCGGACGGCGCUCGCGUCGACGCCGGUCAGCGACGAAUCUUCGGGCCUCUUUCCGACCCGUCUUGAAAACGGGGACCAAAAUUUUUUUUUUUUUAAAAUUAAAAAAACACCAUUUUUUUAA